CCUACGGGCGGCAGCAGUGGGGAAUAUUGCACAAUGGGCGCAAGCCUGAUGCAGCCAUGCCGCGUGUGUGAAGAAGGCCUUCGGGUUGUAAAGCACUUUCAGCGGGGAGGAAGGCGGUGAGGUUAAUAACCUCAUCGAUUGACGUUACCCGCAGAAGAAGCACCGGCUAACUCCGUGCCAGCAGCCGCGGUAAUACGGAGGGUGCAAGCGUUAAGCGGAAUUACUGGGCGUAAAGCGCACGCAGGCGGUCUGUCAAGUCGGAUGUGAAAUCCCCGGGCUCAACCUGGGAACUGCAUUCGGAACUGGCAGGCUAGAGUCUUGUAGAGGGGGGUAGAAUUCCAGGUGUAGCGGUGAAAUGCGUAGAGAUCUGGAGGAAUACCGGUGGCGAAGGCGGCCCCCUGGACAAAGACUGACGCUCAGGUGCGAAAGCGUGGGGAGCAAACAGGAUUAGAUACCCGUGUAGUC
Molecule: ribosomal RNA, 465 nt
Filed under: uncultured Klebsiella sp.
Lineage: Bacteria; Pseudomonadati; Pseudomonadota; Gammaproteobacteria; Enterobacterales; Enterobacteriaceae
Description: bacterial SSU rRNA
Rfam family: Bacterial small subunit ribosomal RNA
Source: RNAcentral